UGGGGAAUAUUGCACAAUGGGGGAAACCCUGAUGCAGCGACGCCGCGUGAACGAAGAAGGUAUUCGUAUCGUAAAGUUCUGUCCUAUGGGAAGAUAAUGACAGUACCAUAGAAGAAAGCUCCGGCUAAAUACGUGCCAGCAGCCGCGGUAAUACGUAAGGUCCGAGCGUUGUCCGGAAUCAUUGGGCGUAAAGGGUACGUAGGCGGGUAAGCAAGUUAGAAGUGAAAUCCUGUAGCUCAACUACAGUAAGCUUUUAAAACUGCUCAUCUUGAGAUAUGGAAGGGAAAGUGGAAUUCCUAGUGUAGCGGUGAAAUGCGCAGAUAUUAGGAGGAAUACCGGUGGCUAAGGCGACUUUCUGGCCAUAAUCUGACGCUGAGGUACGAAAGCGUGGGUAGCAAACAGG
This 403-nucleotide ribosomal RNA is filed under the name Bacteroidota bacterium. Its description in RNAcentral is "Bacteroidetes bacterium partial 16S ribosomal RNA". It matches the Rfam family "Bacterial small subunit ribosomal RNA", at positions 355 to 776 of the family's 1533-position model. Lineage: Bacteria; Pseudomonadati; Bacteroidota. The record is from RNAcentral.